Molecule: small nucleolar RNA, 128 nt
Filed under: Ficedula albicollis (Collared flycatcher)
Lineage: Eukaryota; Metazoa; Chordata; Aves; Passeriformes; Muscicapidae
Source: RNAcentral
CUGGCCCUGAAUCAAGGCCAUCGGUUUGCUGUAGCCGUUGGUUUCAAACAGGAGCCCAGAGGAAACGUCUCCCGGUCUGUUGGUGCUCCCGUGCCAUGGAACAGCCAAUUCGUGUGGGAGCAACAAAG